AAGAGCCUUUGGGAAGAUGUGCGGGUUGAGGAAUGAAAGAAGUAGAUGGCAGAUUUCUCAGGUUUUUCUCUAGACCCCAGAGCCCCAGAGUUCUAUCCCAAGGCAAGACAUUUCCUUUCUCUGUUUCUUUUAAAGAAGAAGGGAGAUAACACAACUUUCCAGGAUAAGUUCAUUGUGAGUUUUACUGGAGGCAGGGCCUAGACAAGCAACAAAACAAUCUACCAGGCAUCAAUUUGUAGCAUUUGAUGGUUUUCCAGGCAUAAAUACUCACAUGGAAAAUUUAACAAUCAGCUCUCAAUUGGUUCUUGUGAGCUGAGAUGGUGUUAUUCAGAAUGUCGCUCAUUAGUGGUUUGCUUCAGUUUUGCCCUCCAUGAAGCUGAGCAGGAGUAGAUGUUCCAGCUCAUUAUCUGACAGCUGAAUCCUCUCCGUCCAGGCUGCAGCUGUACAUUUCAAUUAGACGGAUGGAUGGUUAACCUAGUUGAGGGGCUGGAAAAGGGAAAGCUCAUAGUGCCCCCUACUGGCUGCUAUCCAGAUUCAGGAACUUUAGAUGGAAUGUGAAAAAUAGUCAGAAACGAUCCUUGUCGUUGGCCUCAUGCAGAAGCAGGGGCAAGGUGUCAUCGAGACAUGAUAAAAACAUGCCUGUCCUUGGCAUUUAAGGACUCAGAGUGACUCAGAGACAUCCAGAGUGAAGGAAGAGAAAACAAAGAAGAAAGGAUCUUUCUCAGGCCCAGCUGUCCAGCUGGCACAGAAUCGGAAGGAGCCUUCCUUCUUAACAGACAGAGUCAUCAAAUCGUAGGAUCUCAGAGUUGGUUCUAAAACCCGAAAGGUUUUGGAAUCAUUUUGCUACUUAGUCAUGUCUGACUCUUUGUGACCUGUGGAUCACGACAUUUUCUUGACAAAGAUACU
Phascolarctos cinereus (koala) is the source of this 906-nucleotide non-coding RNA. Lineage: Eukaryota; Metazoa; Chordata; Mammalia; Diprotodontia; Phascolarctidae. The record is from RefSeq and is a predicted model, not a curated record.